AGCUUUAUAGUCAAAUAUGAUAUAAAAUUGCAAAUUUUAAGGUAAUAUAUAUUUAUAUAUUAAGGCUU
This 68-nucleotide transfer RNA is filed under the name Comparmustilia sphingiformis. RNAcentral's name for it is "tRNA-Cys". The record is from RNAcentral. Lineage: Eukaryota; Metazoa; Arthropoda; Insecta; Lepidoptera; Endromidae.